UACAGAGGUCCCAAGCGUUGUUCGGAUUCACUGGGCGUAAAGGGUGCGUAGGCGGUCGGGUAAGUCUGAUGUGAAAUCUCACAGCUUAACUGUGAAACUGCAUUGGAUACUAUCCGGCUCGAGGAAUGGAGGGGAGACUGGAAUACUUGGUGUAGCAGUAAAAUGCGUAGAUAUCAAGUGGAACACCAGUGGCGAAGGCGAGUCUCUGGACAUUUCCUGACGCUGAGGCACGAAAGCCAGGGGAGCAAACGGG
RNAcentral lists this ribosomal RNA (253 nucleotides) under uncultured bacterium. RNAcentral's name for it is "partial 16S ribosomal RNA". It matches the Rfam family "Bacterial small subunit ribosomal RNA", at positions 524 to 776 of the family's 1533-position model. The record is from RNAcentral.